RNAcentral lists this ribosomal RNA (264 nucleotides) under uncultured archaeon. RNAcentral describes it as "partial 16S ribosomal RNA". It matches the Rfam family "Archaeal small subunit ribosomal RNA", at positions 717 to 982 of the family's 1478-position model. The record is from RNAcentral.
ACACGACUACAUUAGAUACCCGCGUAGUCCCAGCCCUAAACGAUGCGCGUUAGGUGUAUCGGUGACCACGAGUCACCGAGGUGCCGAAGGGAAACCGUGAAACGUGCCGCCUGGGAAGUACGGUCGCAAGGCUGAAACUUAAAGGAAUUGGCGGGGAGCACCACGACGGGUGGAGCCUGCGGUUUAAUUGGACUCAACGCCGGGAAGCUCACCGGGAGCGACAGCAGUAUGAUUGCCAGGUUGAUGACCUUGCUUGACAAGCUG